AUGAGUAGCACAACCUGCCCAAUCAUGAGCUAGAAUGUCCGGGGCCUAAACAACCCCGCCCGACGCUCUGUAGUGCAAGACACUGCAAACACGCACCACCUCGCCAUUCUUUGCAUUUAGAACACCAAGCUUGAGGAGUGGACAGCUGCGAUUGCUAGGGAAGUAGGGGGGCAGAGACUUGACGACUGCAUCGUCUUGCCAGGUAAUGGCACAAGAGGAGGCGCUGCCAUCUUCUGGGAUUCGACCCCGGUCUGAAUCCAGUCCCAUGCGAUCGGUGAGUUCUCCAUCGCGGCCAAAGUUUCAGUCCUCUCCUCAGGGUCUAGUUUUUGGCUGACAACGGUCUACGGCCCAUCAGAGGGGGCGCGAAAGGAUAGUUUUCUGGCUGAACUAGUGAGGAGCACCCCUCCCCAAGGCGAGCCCUGGCUCCUCAAUGGAGAUUUCAACAUUAUCUACGAGGCCCGCGACAAAAACAAUAGCGACAUAAAUAGGAGGAUUAUGGGAAAAAUUUAG
Molecule: ribosomal RNA, 510 nt
Filed under: Triticum aestivum (bread wheat)
Lineage: Eukaryota; Viridiplantae; Streptophyta; Magnoliopsida; Poales; Poaceae
Description: partial small subunit ribosomal RNA
Source: RNAcentral